This 141-nucleotide unclassified non-coding RNA is filed under the name uncultured Ostropales. RNAcentral's name for it is "sequence contains ITS1". Lineage: Eukaryota; Fungi; Ascomycota; Lecanoromycetes. The record is from RNAcentral.
ACGAGUGCACUCCUUCGGGAGCCAUCUCCACCCUUGAGUACCGACCGUUGCUUUGGCGGGCCGGGUUUCCCGCCGGCCAGCUGGCGAGCGCCCGCCAAAGAUUUACACUCUUUUAACCUGCGUCUGAGCGAGAAGAAUGCA